This 2224-nucleotide long non-coding RNA is filed under the name Nicotiana tabacum (common tobacco). Its description in RNAcentral is "long non-coding RNA (NTAB_LNC002272)". Lineage: Eukaryota; Viridiplantae; Streptophyta; Magnoliopsida; Solanales; Solanaceae. The record is from RNAcentral.
UCAUAAUCUUCUGUAGGGAAACUCUGGUGCCUGAUGUGAAGUUGAUAAUAUCAUCUGCAAAGAUCAAAUGAUUGACUUGAGGACCUUUUUUUCAUGUAAAAUCCAUUGAAGAAUUGAUCAUUGUUGAGGUUGUUGAGAAUUCUGGGGAGAAGUUCUGCCCAAUGAUAAAGAGGGAUGGUGCCAAGGGAUCUCCCAUUUUAGACCCCUAGUGGAUUUGAAAAAACCAUGCCUAAUUCCAUUUAUCACAACAUAGUACCGGUUAUUGGACAUGGUUCUCCAGAUCAUGUCUGUCACACCUCCUUUUCACUACACAAGCAAGGGCGUAAAGGAGUUUUUCCAAUUUAAGUGACAAUCGAAACGGGAUUUAUUAUAAAGAUUCAGAGUCGCCACUUGAGAAAUUAAUGGUGUCCCAAGUCACUGGUUGAAUCCCGAACUGAGGAAAAUAUGACUCUGUUAACAGUCCGCGAACCAGAAAUCCGAGUAAGGAAUUCAGUUAACCCAGGAGAAGGUGUUAGGCAUUCCCGGGUUCCGUGGUUCUAGCACGGUCGCUCAACUGUCUUUAGCUUAUUAUCUGAUUUUAUUACAUGAUGAACCUAUGUGCUAAUUUUACUUUUAAUCACUUUUUAUUUAAUUUUUAAAGAAAAUUGAAUGUCGUUUAAAACGUGCCUUUGGAUUGCGCCACAUGAAAUGCACCCGUAAUCCUGAACGCAUUAUAUUCAACGUUUUGGGAUUUGAUUUGGGUCACAUAAAAUGCACACCCGAGUUUAAGAAUGUAAUUUUGUUAAAAUCGCGCCUAAAGUGACUAACGCGUUAUUAUCUUUUGGGAAGACCAUGAAAUUCGCUAAUCGGCCCAUCCCGAAUUCUAAGUAUUUAAUAUAACUAUUUAUUAAGGGCCCCACAAUUUACAUUUUAUUUGACGAGGCUCCUCUCAUUUAUUAUUUAAAGGGCAAACCUAAAAGCAACUAUAAUUUUCUAUUUGUAUUUGUAUUUAAUAAUAAAAGGAAAAGUCUUAAUUAACAUUGAUAAAUGGAUGAUCAGUGGGGGCAACCCAAGAAUUGCCUUAGGGAGUGGGCUUCAAGGCCAACCCAUGCAAAAAGGGGGCUGAAUCAGCCUUGGCGACAUUAGUAGAAGAAUGGACCAUUAGGAGAAUGCUUUCAUCUUUGGGCUUAUGAUUGGCCCAACGAAAAUCUGGGCGGACGUCCAAUUCGAUACCAAGUUCAGUGGGAAUUUUAAUUUUCCACAACUGGAUCUCCAAAAAUAGCACAAAUAAGCACAGACCUAGCAAAUCAAUUUUAUACAAGUUUGGACCAAUAAGCUAGCAGACGAGGUGAUCAACAUGAUGCUUUCAUUCUACUGAAAUUCAGAGUCGUUCAACACACAUCAUUUUAAAACAUAUUUACGAAAGCAUCCAGCAUGAGACUGACUAUAACUAACGUGAAUCACUUAUUAACCUAACACAAAAUUAGUUACAACUAAUAGAGAACUAACUAUAACUAGGACUAUACUUGAAAAACAAAACUCAUUGAAUUAGAAUCAUAACAACAGUCCAUUUAAUACAAAACAAACAGGAAUUUAAACAACAUCCAUAAACUAAAUAUUGAAUACAUGGUUCAGAAAUUGAAAUAACUCAAAUCUCAUGCUUCAAUUAUCAUUUGAAUUCUGCCUUCACAUUUCAGCUCACAAUUAUCUAAAACAAAGUUGUGUACCUGGAAUUGGAACACAAAAUGAAGGGGAAAUAGAAGUCAGCUGAGGCAGUAAGAACAGACAGCAGCAAUAUGAACUCAAACAGCCACAAUUACACCAAUGCUUCAGCCCAGAAAUGAGUUAGGAGUAUAGAAAUGCUUUUAAAAACCAAAGGAUUAACGGAUCCAGCCACAGCAAAUUCAACUAAGCACAAUUGACUUCCCAAAUGAAAACAACAACAGCUCACAGCAAAACAACACCCAAAUUGAUCCCAAAAUGCCUCGACCAAACCCAAAAACUGCUUGAAAUCAACUAGGAAUACCUCUGAAAUUUCAGCAACUAAAAAGAGAACUAGGAGAUGUGAAUUGAUAACUAGAAUAUCAAAAUUAACCUACAAUUUCCAAUGAAACAGUGAUUUUUUUUUGGAUUUUUGAAGUUUUUUUCUAUUGUUUUUGUGUUUUUGAGAUACUAGAUCUAAUUGGAAUUGGAAAUUCAAAUCUGAAAUUCAGAUCUGCAGCCAAGGGUUUUAGGGGAAUUUUUG